UGGGGAAUAUUGCACAAUGGGCGCAAGCCUGAUGCAGCCAUGCCGCGUGUGUGAAGAAGGCCUUCGGGUUGUAAAGCACUUUCAGCGGGGAGGAAGGCGAUAAGGUUAAUAACCUUGUCGAUUGACGUUACCCGCAGAAGAAGCACCGGCUAACUCCGUGCCAGCAGCCGCGGUAAUACGGAGGGUGCAAGCGUUAAUCGGAAUUACUGGGCGUAAAGCGCACGCAGGCGGUUUGUUAAGUCAGAUGUGAAAUCCCCGGGCUCAACCUGGGAACUGCAUCUGAUACUGGCAAGCUUGAGUCUCGUAGAGGGGGGUAGAAUUCCAGGUGUAGCGGUGAAAUGCGUAGAGAUCUGGAGGAAUACCGGUGGCGAAGGCGGCCCCCUGGACGAAGACUGACGCUCAGGUGCGAAAGCGUGGGGAGCAAACAGG
RNAcentral lists this ribosomal RNA (429 nucleotides) under Chloroflexota bacterium. RNAcentral's name for it is "Chloroflexi bacterium partial 16S ribosomal RNA". It matches the Rfam family "Bacterial small subunit ribosomal RNA", at positions 355 to 776 of the family's 1533-position model. The record is from RNAcentral. Lineage: Bacteria; Bacillati; Chloroflexota.